This 612-nucleotide ribosomal RNA is filed under the name Triticum aestivum (bread wheat). RNAcentral's name for it is "partial small subunit ribosomal RNA". Lineage: Eukaryota; Viridiplantae; Streptophyta; Magnoliopsida; Poales; Poaceae. The record is from RNAcentral.
AUGUUGGGGGGCGUCCUGUCCAAGACCCUGCUGCUGCUGUUCGGGUACGCGAUGCCGGCGUUCGAGUGCUUCAAGACGGUGGAGGCGCGCCCCAACGACGCGCACAUGCUCCGCUUCUGGUGCCAGUACUGGAUUAUUGUGGCCAUGGUGAUAGCCUUUGAGAGCCUCAUCUCUUGGAUGCCAAUGUAUGGAGAAAUUAAGCUUGCUUUCUUUGNNNNNNNNNNNNNNNNNNNNNNNNAGGGCAGUGAUGUUGUAUAUGACACCUUUCUUCGGCCCAUUGUGAUGCAAUAUGAACCAAACAUCGAGCAGAGGUUACUGCAUCUGAGGGCAAAGUCUGGGCAGUUACUUAGCUUCUAUGUUAAGAACUGUGCUGACAAAGGGACGGCAUUUUUCAUGGAUGUCUUGCGUUAUGUGGUCUCUGACAAGGCCGAAGGAUCAAAUCUAGAGAGGAAUAAGAAGUCUAGCUGGAGUCCCUUUGCGACUAAACGUCGGCCGCCAUCGCCGCCGCAGGAAUCUCUCUUUGACAACCCUGAUGCUGCAGUUGUCGCUGAAGUUCUGCGCGCGGCCAUCAACCCUAAGCCCCGGCGAGCUCAUAAUGACAAGGACUAUUAG